UGGGGAAUAUUGCACAAUGGGCGAAAGCCUGAUGCAGCAACGCCGCGUGAGGGACGACGGCCUUCGGGUUGUAAACCUCUUUUAGCAAGGAAGAAGCGAAAGUGACGGUACUUGCAGAAAAAGCGCCGGCUAACUACGUGCCAGCAGCCGCGGUAAUACGUAGGGCGCAAGCGUUAUCCGGAAUUAUUGGGCGUAAAGAGCUCGUAGGCGGUUUGUCGCGUCUGCUGUGAAAACCCGAGGCUCAACCUCGGGCCUGCAGUGGGUACGGGCAGACUAGAGUGCGGUAGGGGAGAUUGGAACUCCUGGUGUAGCGGUGGAAUGCGCAGAUAUCAGGAAGAACACCGAUGGCGAAGGCAGAUCUCUGGGCCGUAACUGACGCUGAGGAGCGAAAGGGUGGGGAGCAAACAGGCUUAGGUACCCUGGUAGUCCACCCCGUAAACGUUGGGAACUAGUUGUGGGGGUCCAUUCCACGGAUUCCGUGACGCAGCUAACGCAUUAAGUUCCCCCGCCUGGGGGAGUACGGCCGCAAAGGCUAAAAACUCAAAUGGAAUUGACGGGGUCAUAGCUGUUUCCU
RNAcentral lists this ribosomal RNA (574 nucleotides) under uncultured bacterium. Its description in RNAcentral is "partial 16S ribosomal RNA". It matches the Rfam family "Bacterial small subunit ribosomal RNA", at positions 355 to 1375 of the family's 1533-position model. The record is from RNAcentral.